UAGUGGUUAGGAGGGGGGCGGGACCUAUAUUAGUUCCUUUUGAAUUUUAUUUCUUUUAAAAUAAAAGUUUGAUUCUUUCUUAAAAAUUUGGAUUUUAAAUUUUAUUAUAUGUAAGGUUUUCCUUUUGUUCUAAAAGAAUUUUAUUUUUCAGUGUUUAUUUUUGGUUUUUAUUUUAAGAUAAAACCAGGGUUUUAAUUAUAACUGACAAAAAUUGUGCCAGCCGUCGCGGUUAUACAAUUAGUUAAAUUAAAUUUUUUUAGUUUAAUAUUAUAUUUUUUUUAUAAUUAAAAUUUAUAUUUUGAGGUGAAAUUCAAAUAUAUUAAUUUUUUAUUUGUUUAUAUAGAUAUAUGAAAAUCAUAUAAAGACUAGGAUUAGAUACCCUAUUAUUUUGAUUGUAAAGUUUCUUUAAUAUUAAUAGUUAUGUUCUUAAAAUUAAAAGAAUUUGGCGGUUAUUUAUUCUUUCCAGAGGAACCUGCCCCGUAAUUGAUAAUCCACGAUUGAUUUUACUUAAACUUUGCUUAUAUAUCGCUGUCAUUGAAUGUUUUAUAAGAAUAUUUUCUUAAAAUUUUAUGAAUUUAAUGUUAGGUCAAGAUGUAGCUAUGUUUAAGUGGAGGUGGGUUACAUUAAAUUUAUUUUUGGAUGGUUAUAUUUUAUUAUAACUUGAAAUUGGAUUUGGUAGUAAUUUUUACAAAAUUGUAAUUUUUAUUUUAGUUCUAAAUAAUGUACACAUCGCCCGUCACUCCCAUUAUUAAAUAGUUGGGAUAAGUCGUAACAAAGUAGGCCUACCGGAAGGUGGGUCUGGUAAGUU
This 808-nucleotide non-coding RNA is filed under the name Asclepios apicalis. The record is from RNAcentral. Lineage: Eukaryota; Metazoa; Arthropoda; Insecta; Hemiptera; Gerridae.